This 260-nucleotide long non-coding RNA is filed under the name Salvia miltiorrhiza (redroot sage). RNAcentral's name for it is "long non-coding RNA (SMIL_LNC003315)". Lineage: Eukaryota; Viridiplantae; Streptophyta; Magnoliopsida; Lamiales; Lamiaceae. The record is from RNAcentral.
AAUUACUCAUAUCAGUCUUUUGUUUUCCCAACUUAAGAUCUUCAUGUUAAAUUUCAAAUGAUAUACCUGACCGAGCUUUGACUCUUCACUACUUAAUUUAUGCUAAUGAAUGUCGGUUGUCAGAAGCAUGAAACAAAACUUGUGAUCCAAAGGGGCAUAGCCCGGCUUUCUAUCCUAUUUCGGUUUUAACAAGGUUUUUCCCUUGUUUAUUUCUAUGAAUUAUUCACACCUCGAUUAUAUUUAUUCCUUCAAGAAUUGGG